AGUCGAGCGGAUGACAGGAGCUUGCUCCUGAUUCAGCGGCGGACGGGUGAGUAAUGCCUAGGAAUCUGCCUGGUAGUGGGGGACAACGUUUCGAAAGGAACGCUAAUACCGCAUACGUCCUACGGGAGAAAGCAGGGGACCUUCGGGCCUUGCGCUAUCAGAUGAGCCUAGGUCGGAUUAGCUAGUUGGUGAGGUAAUGGCUCACCAAGGCGACGAUCCGUAACUGGUCUGAGAGGAUGAUCAGUCACACUGGAACUGAGACACGGUCCAGACUCCUACGGGAGGCAGCAGUGGGGAAUAUUGGACAAUGGGCGAAAGCCUGAUCCAGCCAUGCCGCGUGUGUGAAGAAGGUCUUCGGAUUGUAAAGCACUUUAAGUUGGGAGGAAGGGCAUUAACCUAAUACGUUAGUGUUUUGACGUUACCGACAGAAUAAGCACCGGCUAACUCUGUGCCAGCAGCCGCGGUGAUACAGAGGGUGCAAGCGUUAAUCGGAAUUACUGGGCGUAAAGCGCGCGUAGGUGGUUUGUUAAGUUGGAUGUGAAAUCCCCGGGCUCAACCUGGGAACUGCAUUCAAAACUGACAAGCUAGAGUAUGGUAGAGGGUGGUGGAAUUUCCUGUGUAGCGGUGAAAUGCGUAGAUAUAGGAAGGAACACCAGUGGCGA
Molecule: ribosomal RNA, 662 nt
Filed under: uncultured bacterium
Lineage: Bacteria
Description: bacterial SSU rRNA
Rfam family: Bacterial small subunit ribosomal RNA
Source: RNAcentral